RNAcentral lists this ribosomal RNA (307 nucleotides) under uncultured bacterium. Its description in RNAcentral is "bacterial SSU rRNA". It matches the Rfam family "Bacterial small subunit ribosomal RNA", at positions 28 to 334 of the family's 1533-position model. The record is from RNAcentral.
GACGAACGCUGGCGGCGUGCCUAACACAUGCAAGUCGAGCGAGGGGAGUUCUUCGGAACGAAUCUAGCGGCGGACGGGUGAGUAACACGUGGGCAACCUGCCUUAUAGAGGGGAAUAGCCUUCCGAAAGGAAGAUUAAUACCGCAUAACAUUGUAGUUUCGCAUGAAGCAACAAUUAAAGGAGAAAUCCGCUAUAAGAUGGGCCCGCGGCGCAUUAGCUAGUUGGUGAGGUAACGGCUCACCAAGGCGACGAUGCGUAGCCGACCUGAGAGGGUGAUCGGCCACAUUGGGACUGAGACACGGCCCAG